UAAAGCUACAAAGAGCUAAUGGAGAAUGCCUUGGUACUGACAGCCGAUGAAGGACGUGUAAAGCUGCGAUAAGCUUCGGGGAGUUGCUAAAAGACCUUGAUCCGAAGAAAUCCGAAUGGGGAAACCCUGCGAGGUUAAAACCUUGUAAUCCACAGAUAAAUACAUAGUCUGUGCGAAGGAAAGCCUGUGAACUGAAACAUCUUAGUAACAGGACGAAAAGAAAAUAACCAAAUGAUUCCGAUAGUAGCGGCGAGCGAACUCGGAAGAGCCUAAACAGUAUGUACGUGAUAGACUGCAAUUGUUGUGCAUAUUGGGUUGUGGGACUCACAGUAUGAUUUGCAGGUCAUACAAAGAGUUACAAAGUUAAUUAAUAGCUGAAGACAACUGGGAAGUUGCACCAUAGAGGGUGAUAGUCCUUUAAGCGACAUUAAUUAAUCUCUUGUGAGUAUCCCGAGUAAGGCGGGGCACGUGAAACCCUGUCUGAAUCCACCGGGACCAUCCGGCAAGGCUAAAUACUAGUCAGUGACCGAUAGUGAACGAGUACAGUGAUGGAAAGGCGAAAAGAACAGUGAGAAGCUGAGUGAAAUAGACCCUGAAACCGUUAGCUUACAAUCAGUCAGAGCACUAUUAAUAGUGUGAUGGCGUGCCUGUUGAAGAAUGAGCCGGCGAGUUAUCUUAUGUUGCGAGGUUAAGGAGUUAACAUCCGGAGCCAUAGCGAAAGCGAGUUUGAAAAGAGCGUUAAGUAACAUGCGAUAGACCCGAACCUUGGUGAUCUAACCUUGACCAGGAUGAAGCGUGGGUAACACUACGUGGAGGUCCGAACCAACCGAUGUUGAAAAAUCGGUGGAUGAGUUGAGGUUAGGGGUGAAAUGCCAAUCGAACCAAGAGCUAGCUGGUUCUCCCCGAAAUGCGUUUAGGCACAGCGUCAAAUUUAUCUUACAGGAGGUAGAGCACUGGUUUUGUGCGGGCGACGAAAUGUUGUACCAAACAAUGUCAAACUCCGAAUGCCUGUAAUGUUAUUAUUUGGCAGUGAGGCUAUGAGUGAUAAGAUCCAUGGCCAAGAGGGAAACAGCCCAGAACGCCAGUUAAGGUCCCUAAUAUAUGCUAAGUGGUUAAGGAGGUAAAGUUGCUGAGACAACCAGGAGGUUGGCUUAGAAGCAGCCAUUCCUUGAAAGAGUGCGUAAUAGCUCACUGGUCAAGCGACUUCGCGCCGAAAAUACACCGGGACUCAAGCAUAUAACCGAAACUGCGUCAUAUAGUUUACUAUAUGGGUAGGGGAGCGUUCUAUAUUAGGAUGAAGUAAGAUCGAAAGGACUUAUGGACGAGAUAGAAGUGAGAAUGUCGGCAUAAGUAGCGAAAACAUUGGUGAGAAUCCAAUGCACCGAAAACCUAAGGUUUCCCACGGCAGGCUCGUCCGCGUGGGGUUAGUCGGAUCCUAAGCUGAGGCCGAAAGGCGUAGGCGAUGGGCAUCAGGUUGAUAUUCCUGAACUAUCUAAUAAUCGUUAUUAGAAGCGGAGGGACGCAGUAGGAUAUGCAAGCAGCCGAACGGAAGUGGCUGUAAAGAUGUGUAGGUAGAACAGGUAGGAAAAUCCGCUUGUUCGUUAUAAACUGAGGCAUCGAGUAGGACAUUCUACGGAAUGGAAGUUGCAGAUUCCACACUGCCAAGAAAAACUUCGCUAUCGAGACUAUUAGGUAUCCGUACCGUAAACCGCCACAGGUAGGUUGGUAGAAAAUACUAAGGUGCGCGAGAUAACUCUCGCUAAGGAACUCGGCAAAAUCACCUCGUAACUUCGGGAGAAGAGGUACCCUGGUAGAGUGAAGCGGUUUACCCGUGGAGCUUGAUAGGGUCGCAGUGAAUUGGCCCAUGCGACUGUUUACCAAAAACACAGGUCUCUGCUAAGUCGAUCAAGACGAUGUAUAGGGGCUGACGCCUGCCCGGUGUCGGAAGGUUACGCGGACAUGUUAGACAUUAGUCAAAGCAUAGAAGCUAAGCCCCGAUGAACGGCGGCCGUAACUAUAACGGUCCUAAGGUAGCGAAAUUCCUUGUCAGGUAAGUUCUGACCCGCACGAAUGGCGU
Molecule: ribosomal RNA, 2077 nt
Filed under: human gut metagenome
Description: bacterial LSU rRNA
Rfam family: Bacterial large subunit ribosomal RNA
Source: RNAcentral